AGUGAACGCUGGCGGUAGGCCUAACACAUGCAAGUCGAACGGCAGCACAGGAGAGCUUGCUCUCUGGGUGGCGAGUGGCGGACGGGUGAGGAAUACAUCGGAAUCUGCCCAGUCGUGGGGGAUAACGUAGGGAAACUUACGCUAAUACCGCAUACGACCUUCGGGUGAAGGAGGGGGAUCGCAAGACCUCUCGCGAUUGGAUGAGCCGAUGUCGGAUUAGCUAGUUGGCGGGGUAAUGGCCCACCAAGGCGACGAUCCGUAGCUGGUCUGAGAGGAUGAUCAGCCGCACUGGAACUGAGACACGGUCCAGACUCCUACGGGAGGCAGCAGUGGGGAAUAUUGGACAAUGGGCGCAAGCCUGAUCCAGCCAUACCGCGUGGGUGAAGAAGGCCUUCGGGUUGUAAAGCCCUUUUGUUGGGAAAGAAAUCUUUCAGGCUAAUACCCUGGGAGGAUGACGGUACCCAAAGAAUAAGCACCGGCUAACUUCGUG
Molecule: ribosomal RNA, 490 nt
Filed under: uncultured bacterium
Lineage: Bacteria
Description: partial 16S ribosomal RNA
Rfam family: Bacterial small subunit ribosomal RNA
Source: RNAcentral